This 253-nucleotide ribosomal RNA is filed under the name uncultured bacterium. RNAcentral describes it as "partial 16S ribosomal RNA". It matches the Rfam family "Bacterial small subunit ribosomal RNA", at positions 524 to 776 of the family's 1533-position model. The record is from RNAcentral.
UACGGAGGGUGCAAGCGUUAUUCGGAAUUACUGGGCGUAAAGCGCACGCAGGCGGCUGCUUAAGUCAGAUGUGAAAGCCCCGGGCUUAACCUGGGAACUGCAUUUGAAACUGGGUGGCUAGAGUAUGAAAGAGGAAAGCGGAAUUUCCAGUGUAGCAGUGAAAUGCGUAGAUAUUGGAAGGAACACCGAUGGCGAAGGCAGCUUUCUGGGUCGAUACUGACGCUCAUGUGCGAAAGCGUGGGGAGCAAACAGG